This 506-nucleotide ribosomal RNA is filed under the name uncultured bacterium. RNAcentral's name for it is "partial 16S ribosomal RNA". It matches the Rfam family "Bacterial small subunit ribosomal RNA", at positions 29 to 523 of the family's 1533-position model. The record is from RNAcentral.
AGUGAACGCUGGCGGUAGGCCUAACACAUGCAAGUCGAACGGCAGCACAGAGGAGCUUGCUCCUUGGGUGGCGAGUGGCGGACGGGUGAGGAAUACAUCGGAAUCUACUCUGUCGUGGGGGAUAACGUAGGGAAACUUACGCUAAUACCGCAUACGACCUACGGGUGAAAGCAGGGGAUCUUCGGACCUUGCGCGAUUGAAUGAGCCGAUGUCGGAUUAGCUAGUUGGCGGGGUAAAGGCCCACCAAGGCGACGAUCCGUAGCGGUUCUGAGGGGAUGCUCAGCCACACUGGAACUGAGACACGGUCCAGACUCCAAAGGGAGGCAGCAUUGGGGAAUAUUGGACAAUGGGCGCAAGCCUGAUCCAGCCAUACCGCGUGGGUGAAGAAGGCCUUCGGGUUGUAAAGCCCUUUUGUUGGGAAAGAAAUCCAUCUGGUUAAUACCCGGGUGGGAUGACGGUACCCAAAGAAUAAGCACCGGCUAACUUCGUGCCAGCAGCCGCCGCAG